RNAcentral lists this ribosomal RNA (440 nucleotides) under uncultured bacterium. RNAcentral describes it as "partial 16S ribosomal RNA". It matches the Rfam family "Bacterial small subunit ribosomal RNA", at positions 338 to 795 of the family's 1533-position model. The record is from RNAcentral.
CCUACGGGGGGCAGCAGUGGGGGAUAUUGCACAAUGGGGGAAACCCUGAUGCAGCGACGCCGCGUGUGGGAAGACGGUCCUCUGGGUUGUAAACCACUGUCCCCAGGGACGAAGAUGACGGUACCUGGGGAGGAAGCUCCGGCAAACUACGUGCCAGCAGCCGCGGUAAUACGUAGGGAGCGGGCGUUGUCCGGAAUUACUGGGUGUAAGGGGAGCGUAGGCGGGGAUGCAAGUUGGGUGGCAAAACUACCGGCUCAACUGGGAGUCGCACUCAAAACUGCAGCUCUUGAGUGAAGUAGAGGCAGGCGGAAUUCGUAGUGUAGCGGUGAAAUGCGUAGAUAUUAGGAGGAACACUAGUGGCGAAGGCAGCCUGCUGGGCUUUUACUGACGCUGAGGCUCGAAAGUAUGGGGAGCAAACAGGAUUAGAUACCCGGGUAGUC